UGCCCAAUGUGGGGCAUGAACCCAAGACCCUGAGAAUAAGGGUCUCAUGCUCUAGCGACUGAGCUAACUGAAUGGC
Molecule: transfer RNA, 76 nt
Filed under: Cricetulus griseus (Chinese hamster)
Lineage: Eukaryota; Metazoa; Chordata; Mammalia; Rodentia; Cricetidae
Description: tRNA-Lys
Source: RNAcentral